AGAGUUUGAUCAUGGCUCAGGACGAACGCUGGCGGCGUGCUUAACACAUGCAAGUCGAACGGAAAGGCCCUGCUUGCAGGGUACUCGAGUGGCGAACGGGUGAGUAACACGUGGGUGAUCUGCCCUGCACUUCGGGAUAAGCCUGGGAAACUGGGUCUAAUACCGGAUAGGAGCCAUUUUUAGUGUGAUGGUUGGAAAGUUUUUUCGGUGUAGGAUGAGCUCGCGGCCUAUCAGCUUGUUGGUGGGGUAAUGGCCUACCAAGGCGGCGACGGGUAGCCGGCCUGAGAGGGUGGACGGCCACAUUGGGACUGAGAUACGGCCCAGACUCCUACGGGAGGCAGCAGUGGGGAAUAUUGCACAAUGGGCGCAAGCCUGAUGCAGCGACGCCGCGUGGGGGAUGACGGCCUUCGGGUUGUAAACUCCUUUCGCUAGGGACGAAGCUUUUUGUGACGGUACCUAGAUAAGAAGCACCGGCUAACUACGUGCCAGCAGCCGCGGUAAUAC
Molecule: ribosomal RNA, 504 nt
Filed under: uncultured bacterium
Lineage: Bacteria
Description: bacterial SSU rRNA
Rfam family: Bacterial small subunit ribosomal RNA
Source: RNAcentral